GCUGGCGGGGCCGGGGAGCGCCGCCGUCCUCCUCGGGAGGAAACCGUACGGGCGACCGAUGAGAAGCGGGGACCGCCAGCCCGCCCUCCCUCCCAUCCCAUCCUGGUGCCGGGAUAACGGGCAGAGGGGCUUCCCAAGUGGGGUGUACGGAGCGCGGAUGUGAAUUUAUUCGGGGCUGCUAAUGAAAUUAAUUAGCGCAUCUACGGCGCGGCGGGGAGCGCCGGACCUCCGGGGAAUGGAGCGGCGAUGGGGACCGGGGUGGAAGGGGCGGCCCCCGUCGCAGGUGACCGGCUCGCUUUUCACACUGCUGCUUUUUGGUGGGGUUUUUAGGAGAUCCCUUUGCUUCCAGUCCUUAUUACCCAACCCUGAAUCCCGAAUCCCGAGCCGGCUCCAGCACAACUGUAGAUGCUGCAGGUCGGGAGGCAAACCGGCAGGCUGGGUUUGGCUAAAAGUCCCUUCCCUGCGUGCUUGGGUUGGACUAGAUGAUCUUUCGAGGUCCCGUCCAAUCCCUAACAUUCUGUGAUACCCUGUCCUUCCCUUCCAGGACAGCGAGCGCUGGCUUGUGUGGAGGGCAUCAAUGCUACCUUGAGCAUCCCCAAAAAACCUGCAAGUGUUACACAAGGCAGUGCUACCAGGCAGACUCCGUGGUGACCCGCGGGAUGUGCUCUGCACGGGGGGAAAUAACAUGCAUUGAGGAGAAAGAGAUUAAAUUGCUAAGGCAUCUGUGUACCUUAGAUGUUGCUUAGAUAUCAUGGGAGGAACUUCCAGUCUGCCCCAUCAUUAUGAUUAAAACAUUAGUUAUUAGUGGCUUCAUGUGUAAUAACAAACAAAAAAAAGGAGAGGAAAACAGUUUUCCUUUUAAUACAGAAGCGAUGUUUCAGAGCUGCAGUUUGCAAGCUGUCAGCAGCUGUAUAUUGGCUUGUAGAAAUGCCCUGAGUGCCUGUGAUGCGCAGUGCUUAGUGGAUGCUAUGUUUGAUUUUCAUCCCACCUGCACAUGAGACAUUUCCUGGUGGGUCCCAGGUGUGGGAAGAGCACGGCCAGGCCAGCAGCACUGCACUGCACCCCUGUGGCAGGCUGAGGGCUGGUGCUCUGGCGGUCCCUCUCCCUCAAUUUGCUCUUUUUAUCUUAAAGACGAAUGACAUUAAACAAUUUCAACUGAGGCCUAAUGAUGACUCCUCUUGCCAGACUCCUUAUGGAGUUUGAACCACUGCUUUAUUCGUGUGGGAGAGCUUGUAAAUAUAUAACUGCUGAGGAAAUGCAUUCGGUGAGAGCUUGGCACACAGGAAGCACAUGGCCAGUCUGUCUCUGACCGCAGUGGGGUAAGAAUUACUGUUGGUGAUGAUGCUGAUCAAGUGCAGCCAGCAGCAGAGGUUAUAUUUCCUCCCCAGUGCAGGCCAGUGUUAUUGCUUGCAGAGUGGAUGCAUUCCAGGUGGAUACUGGUGAUCCUGGGAACAGACCUGCCAACAUUUCCCCUUUGGUAUGGAUGGUGUUGGUGGGACCUUGAUGACCUAGCAUAAUUCUGUGUUGCCAGUCACUGCAACUACCUAAUACUCUGGUUUUCUGUCUGAAUUUGGUUUGGAUACCUGAAUCUUCUUGUUUAGGUACACAGGAUAAAGCAAAAAACGCAUUUUUUUACUUCCUAGUAGGUAAUCUUCUUCAAUAGGAUCUCUACCAUAGCAGCCCCGCUCGGGUGGCCAUGGCUAUGCUGCAGGGACCUGUAUUGGUCUGCCCAGCACUAAAACAAGAUGAUGUUGCCAAGGCAAGCCUGGGAAAACUGCUUGAAUGAGGCGAGGUGCAAAAGAGGACAGGCAAAGGCAAUGGACAAAUGCAGGAGCCAGGAGAGUCUCCCCAUACCUUGUCCAGAUGGCUUAAGAUGGGGUAGGGAUCUUGCAGGGACCUCCUGGGUCACACACUGCACUCCCGUGCUGUUGUAGUUGUAUCAAUAUGUCCCAUAUGUUUAUCAGGCUUCAUGUUGGCUUGUUCUGUGGGUUCUGCAGAAACCUGUCCUAGACCUUUUUGCUCUGGAAGUCAGAAAUCUUUUAAUCCCCAGCCUGAAUAUAUGACUGAGUUCUUUACAGCUCCACAAUUAUUGGCUUGGAGCUUUCACAAGGUUUUCUUAUGUUUUCUCCACUCCCACAGGUCUCUCAGUAGCAUCUAUAGCCCCUUCAGCCCCUGUUCUGGUAGUCUAAACAAGACCACCUUCUGGUAGUUUCCUCUCACAAGAUAAAUCCCCCUUUCUUUGAUAGCUGUAGUCAUCCUGUAUCGCACCAGUUUCAGUUCCUCUGAAAAACAGAGGAGGUGGUUUUCAGAGUUAUUGCUGAGAUUUCAAGCUUAAAAUCAAUGGACCUUUUGAUUCAAAAUCCAAUUUGGAGUGCUUUUAAGAACAUCUCUGAUCAUUCAAUUGAACAUCUCAAAGUUUGGACCCCAAGCCUUGUUAUUCAACUACAAAACUACAACUCCGCUGACUCUGAGAACUUGCAUGAACAUUUAUAAUCGCAUGAGGGAAUCUAAGAGCCACUCAAACAAUAGAUAAGAUUAGUAACAAAAGUGGCUGGGAUGUGAUUGUUAUUGUGCAAGUCAAAGAAAGGGCUGUCACCCACAGAGGAUGUUGCCAAGAAAGAUGCGUUUGAGUUAUGGAGCCAUUCUCCCAUCUGCUGUCCGAAUUCUCCUGCAGUCUUCCCGGAUCUAUUCAGGCUUAGCUGGGUGAUUCACUGAAUUAAGAACCAGCUGAGUGUAGACUUGCUGUUGGACACAGUUUUUUGCCAGGAUGUGUCAGAUCUUUGCCUUGGUCCAGUCCUUGUUCAGUGCUCCCACCAUGGAAAAGGGAGCUUAUUCUGGUUCAGAGUAUUUCCUUAGCUAUGAUGGGACUUGGAGCAACAAAGCAAUCAAAGCAAGCUUGCCUUUACAAUCUCUUGGAGCCAGAGCAAUCAGAAAACAGUUACAGCCGUGUGGCGAUGUCUGAAGUUGUGCAAAGGCUCGGAACAACCCCUGGACUGGAGUGUGUAACAGAACGGUGAAAGCUCCCUUUGCUUUCCAUUUGGGUAGAGCGUGCCUUUGGAGAGAGGAGUUCAGCAUGGCUUGUGCGCUGUCUGCAAGGCACUGGUUGCCCCGUGAACAAGCCCCCAUCGUGUGCAGCGAACAAGAAACUAGCACAACACAUAUGUAAGUCAUUUACAAAGAUGGGAAUGAUGAACUGUGCAAACAAUAGAGUCGCUAUUAGGUCUGUCAAUCCUAAUUAAAAAAAUACUUCUCAAUGAAAAUUAUUUAUAAAAAGAAAUCACAGUGACCCUAAAUCAAAUUAUUUGUGAAUGGUUUUUAGUCUCCCAGAUCAGUUAGAACUCCUGUGUUAGUCCCUGGACAUCAUCCAACCUACAUGCUGAAUGAAUAACAUGUCUGCCAAAUUUCAUUUUUUUUCACCCUCACCCAGUUUGGCACAGGACAGUUAAAGUCAUUUUUCUAAAUAUCUUUCAGAACAUCAAGCAACUGUAAAAUAACAAUGGAAAAGCUUGGCCACAUUUAACUACAGCCCUCCAGUUGUAACCGCUUCUCUCAAAAAAAGUGGCUCUGGUUCCUUUGAUAAUCUGUUUUGGGUGAGCACCGAGGCAGGGCUUCCCCACAGGGUACUGGAGGGUCACUUCCCGAGGGGUCACCCUGCCACGGAACAUGGUUUCCAGGUGCUCAGGAGUGGGGCACAGCUGCAUCCAGGCUGUGCCUGCGUACAGGGUUUGUGUCAUCCUGACCACCUGCUAGAGACUGACAUCCCGAGGACAUACCAGCCAUUCCUUGUCCACAACUUCCCAUGGUGAGAUGUAAAGAUGCCCCUUUUUGUUGCUCAUUAAAAAAAAAAAAAAGUGGAAAACGGAAAGGAAUUGGUGACUGCACAAUGGCAGAAUGAGUUGUUGCUUCUUGUAUCUGCAAAGAUAAACUGCUAAUGUGGAAAAUAAGGAGGUGAGUGGUGACAGCCAACAUGGCUUCUCUAAGGGCAAAUGGUGCUUGACAAAUUCAGUGGCCCUCUGUGAUGGAGUUACAGCAUUGGUGGAGAAAGGAAAAGCAGCUGAUGUUACCUACCUGGACUUGUGCAAAGCAUAGAACACUGUCCCACAUGACAUCCUUUUCUCUAAAUUAGAGAGACAUGGGUUCAACAGAUGGACCACUCAGUGGACAGGGAAUUGGCUGGACAGUUGCACUUGAAGAGUUACAGUCAAUGGCUGAAUGUCCAAGUGGAGACCAGUGACAAGUGGCAUUCACGGGGAUUGGUGUUGGGACGGGCGCAGUUUAACAUCUUUGUUGGCAACAUGGACAGGGGGAUUGAGUGCACCCUCAGCAAGCUUGCCGACAACACCAAGCUGUGUGGUGCGGUCAAUCUGCUGGAGGGCAGGGAUGCCAUCAAGAGGGACCUGGACAGGCGUGAGAGGUGGGUCUGUGCGAAUUUUAUCAGGUUCAACAAGGCCAAGUGCAAGGUCCUGCACAUGGGUUGGGACAAUCCCCAGCACAAAUACAGGCUGGGCAGAGAAUGGAUUGAGAACAACCCCAAGGGAAAGGACUUCGGGGUGUUGGUGAGAAGCUCAACAUGACCCAGCAAUGUGUACUUGCAGCCCAGAAAGCCAACUGUAUCCUGGGCUGCAUCAAAUGAGGCAUGACCAGCAGGUCAAGGAAGGGGAUUCUCCCCCUCUGCUUUGCUCUCUUGAGACCCCACCUGGAGUACUGCAUCCAGCUCUGGGGCCCUCAAUGCAAGAGGGACACAGACUUGUUGGAGCAAGUCCAGAAGAGGCCAUGAAGAUGAUCAGAGGGCUGGAGCACCUGUCCUAUGAAGACAGGCUGCGAGAGUUGAGAUUGUUCAGCCUGGAGAAGAGAAGGCUCCAGGGAGACCGUAAAGCAGCUUUCCAGCACCUAAAGGGGGCCUACGAGGGCAUGUAGUGAUAGGACAAGGGUAAUGGCUUUAAACUGAAAGAGAGUAGAUUUAGAUUAGAUAUAAGGCAGAAAUUCUUCCUGGUGAGGCUCCCGGUAGGGAGCUGGGGAGCCGCAUGUUGGUUCUGGCUGGAGGAGAUCAGUCACAGGGCACGCUGGGGCCCUUUGGACAAGUGCAAUGCUGGCAACCUGGGCUCAGAGUGGGGUCGAGAAGCUUGGGGAUGGUGCUGGCGGGAGGGACCUCUGUCUUCUGUGCUGCCCCAAAUCCUGCUGCUGGGGGGAGCAGGAAUCACCUAGAGCUAAUGAGAAAUGCAUCCAGCACAGCAAGAAGUCCUUCUUCUUCCCCACCAGGGACCAUUAGGGUGGCUUCAACCUCUCACAGUGUGUCUAGAUAGAGGAGCAGGUUUGUUUUAUGGUUUUUGCUACUGGAAUAUUUUGGCAACCAGCCCUGUUGUGCUUGAGACAAAGUGCUGUGCAAGUGUGCAGCAAACAUGAACAUCCAUUAAUUGUUUUACAGCUGCUCGGCAAAUACCAUGUGGUACAGGUGGGAAGAUGCAGUGCUGUGAUCCCACAAGGUCUGGAUGGAGCAGGUAAGAGUCUGCCCUGUGUGAAACACAUGGUUUGUGUUAGAGAGGAGAAGGGUUUACAAAACAGGUGCAUUUGCAAACCGGCUUUGCCAGGGUGAGGUGGGAGAGAGGGUUAUUUCUCUGUCUCAGCAAGGGUGGCCCAACAACAAAUGGCUUAAUAAAAUAGCUGCUUUUAUAAGAUAGAAUAAAAAGAAGGAUAUGUAAUAACUUGAAGGACUGAAAAGGUGGAACUUCUCUCCAGGACAGGAUAACUGCAGCAGCAUGGCAGAAUCCAUCCUGGGUCCAUCCAGUGCUGUUUGAAUGCAGGGUGCCUUGCAUCUGAAGGGGCAUAAGAUUUGCUUGCUCUUGGUAUUCGUCCUUUUACUCUGCCUUAUUAAAACAGCUGUUUGAUCAAGUCAGUUGCGGUUGGGCCUUUCUCACUGAGACCAGAGAGAGACCACCUUCCCCCAGCCCAGACCUGCCUUGGGAGGGAGACGACCCCUCACAACCUCCUUCUGCAGCCUCUGGCUUUUCCCUGGCACUGCCAAGCUCAGGUGGCCUCAAACUCAUGACAUAUGUAAUAAACUCACAGCUUUAAACUCUUGGUAUCCACCCUUUUGUUGGUUAAAAUGUUCAUGGAAGUCACAGGAAAAGUGAUACUCUUAUAAUUAAGGAGUGUGGUAGUGCUGUACAUAGCUUGGGAUGAGGGUGGAGGAGAAAGGCAGCAAUGACAAAAUAAGAUUGCUGUCGUUAAAACUUACGUAGCUUUAAAAAAUACUGAGUAAGAUUAAAAAAAUAAUUAUAAUAAUCGUGUGUUUGACAGAAUUCAAUGUGAUAAAGUCAUCCCAGUGUUGGCAGUGACUGGUCUCUCAUGAAUACUGAGCAUCGUUGUUUUCUCACAAAUGCUGAUGCUGUUGGAGAAGCAGCACGUCUGUGGCGGGACUGCAGUCGUGGUGGGUGACUUGGUGCUCAAGGUGUGGAAAUGCACCUGAUUUAACAGAUUUAUAGCCCCUUCUGCGUCCCUAGCCCGCUCCUCGUGUGAGGCGGGAGCGGGAUGGGAGCCCUGGGAUGUUUCUGGCCAGUGGCUGCUCGCACCAUGACUGUUGCCAGCACUAGGUCAGGGUGACCACUGCCUCGUUGGGCCCUAACAAUGGAGGAGCCCUGCCUCUGUCCUAGGGAUACGCUGCCCUCUGGGAAAGGAAAGUCAUCUGGAUGAUCUUAGCAUCCCAAACGGCACUACAGGCCCCUUGUGACAUGCCACACCAAGGAGACUUUGUCUCUGUUGCCUCUGUACCUGCCAUCCAGGUAGUUUUUGGCCACCAUUAAUUCAGUAGUGGUGGUAUCUGUACCCCACCACUCCUGUAGUGAACAGAGAUUCCCACUGAAGCCUCUACCCCGGCCUUCCCAGAACACGAGUUUUGGAUAAGGAAAUACAAAUUGUUGUCCCUGACUUUGCAGGGUUAAUCUGAGUGCAGACCCAUGUGGUGCUGCUGCCUGUGUCCUCAGCUCCAGGCAGGACAUGCACGGCAAAGGACUGAGGAGGGAGCUUCAGACCGGGAAAGUGUGGCCAUCUCUCCACGGAUACAGUGGGGAAGGUCAUGAAGUGCCUUUGCAGGGAGGAUCUGGUGUGUGCACGUGGGUACCCACGGAUCACACAAGUGAGAUGCAGCAGAUGAGCUGCCUUGCUCUAUUUGUAACCUCCCACUGCUGUUGAACAGACUUCACAAGGAGGAGAGAGAACUGAAAAUGGAGCUGAAAACUGACACUUGAGGCUCAGAUACUUGGAGGGACCCAUUGAAUCACGGAAUAGUUUGAGUUGGAAGGACCUUCCCAGCUCCCCCAGUGCCCCCCCUGCCAUGAGCAGGGACAUCUUCACCAGCUCAGGUUGCUCAGAGCCCCGUCCAGCCUGGCCUGGGAUGUCUCCAGGGAUGGUUCAUCCACCACCUCUCUGGGUAACCUGUUCCAGUAUUUUACCACCCUCAUUGUAAAAAAAUUCUCCCCCAUGUCUAGUCUGAACCUCUCCUCUUUCAGUUUAAAACUAUCACCCCUUGUAAUGUCAUAACAUGCUGUCCUGGUUUAACCUGAGCUGGCAAUGCAACCACAAUAGCCCCUUACUCACCCACUCCUCCCCUACCCUUCAUCCCCCCAAUAGGGGACAGAAUUGAAAGGGGAGAGAGAAACUUGGAUUGAGAUAAACACAGUUUAAUGAAAAAUACAGAAUACUAAUACACUACUAGUAAAUAUAUAUCUAAAACAGAAAUAAAAGAUACUCAAGGCGAUUCCUCAUGAACUCUAUCCACACUGAGCAGCCAGUCCCAGGAAGCAGCACCUGGUCCUGAACAGCCAACCCCGAAGAGAGAAAAGAGGAAAAAAGGAGAAAGGCUCAGAGGCCUCUGCAAAAUGGCAAAAGACUGAACUAAACGUGCUGAACCGAACUCCCCCGGCUCUGACAAAAAAGAGCAAAAAACCACAGCCAAGGCUGUGGCAGCAUUUUGUUGGUGCCAGGAGUCUGGUGUGUCCUGGUGAAGGGCUGGCUUCUGCCCUGCAUGGCAGGACUUACCCACAUCGGAUCUGCAGGAACGUGUCUUCAGUGUGGAGGAGGAUGAGGAUCUGCAACCUGUGGAAGAUGCUGAAGAUGCGCAACCUGCCCGCUUGUGCUGUUGGGGGUCAGUGUCUUUCCUCACAGAAAAGCUGCAGGGACGCUGGGGCACUGCCCUUUGUGACAUCUGUCACCAGGCAGGGCACUUUGCACCAGGAGCUCCCUUGGCAUAGGGAUGGACCUGAGAAGCACUUUGUUUUGCAGGAAUCCUUGGGAAACUGAAGGAGCAAAAUUAAAUCAGGUGAAUGAAAAAACAGCUCUGAGGGGCAAAAACCUCUGACAGUGCUGCUGAGCUCUUGGGGUCCUCCAGGCAGAGUGGAGUCUGGGCUGAGCUCAGAUGCUCCAUCUCUCUUUCAUGGUGGCAUAUAUGAUGGGUUUUGCACGAGGGAGGUAGGGGAGAGAUAGGCUUUGGAUAAAUUAAAGCAGCUGGGGGAUGAAACAGUUGUUUUCUGAAAUAAUGGUUCUUCAUGAGGCAUCUUGGCUUGUGCCUGAAUGCAGAAUGAACUGAUUUUAGUGGUUGAAAAAGGGAAAAUAUGGAAAAUGAAGAAAUAAAAUCACAGAAAGGAAGGAGUAGGGAUGGCUAAGAAGCACUAACAUUCAGGAGCAGUUGCAUUGAGAUGGUGCGGUGCAGAAAGUUCUGUCUUCUGGUUGAUGACAAACACAAAGACUUCACUGAAAGGUGCAGUGGAUUUUACAGGAGAAGAAGAUGGGAAGUAAAUUUGCCACAGUUUUGACCAUCGUUGAACAGGGUGAAAAUUUGAAAAUACAUGUCAAGCCUUGAGACUAAGCAAGGACUGAUAUCAGCUAACACCCAUGGUGGCAAAGCUGGGAAAAACUCUUUCUUAGAUAAAAUGAGUAGCAGAAGAGAUUCCAAAGAUGUGAUAUUUGGUGAUGCAGACCCAGUGAAAUGGGGAUAUGGUCUCUAUGCUUAAGAAUAGACAUGGGAGCUGUAGAAGAGAUUUAAAUAGUACAAUUUGGCAAACUGGCUUUGGAACCCAGAGGUUUUUAUCCAUCUCCGAGUGCAGAUAAAACCAAUGCAAGUUCCUAAUGUACAAGGCACAACCCUUGAGCCCCAGCACACUUGUUCUUCUGAGCUCUUUCUAGAAAGCUUUGAAAAGAGCAUUGUGGGCAGGAGGUCGCAUGGUGAUGCAUGAUACAACCCAGAUGCAAAGAAAGACCCUGUACACAUCAUCUAAGCCACCAGGCAAUGCAAAGCCUGGGGGGAGGUGUUAGAAAAGGAUGCUCUUGGUAUCACUAGUCCAUGGGCAUGCUAGAAUUAAGCCAUCACUUUAACCAUGCACUUUUCUAUCAGCAAAACCAUACCAUGUCCUGCCUGGCUUUGCUGCUCUCAGUGGAUAGUGGUCACCCUUGCCCCUGUACGCUUUGGGCCACCACCCUGAGCAUCCCUGGCAUUCCUCUGGGAGAAAAGCCUUCCAGCCCUGCAGGAUGAAUUAGGACCAUCUCCCUCCAGCUGGCCCUUUGGGACCUGUAGUGAACUCAAGUGUGACUCACAGGUAAGGAUCAGCCAUUGGACACCAGCACAUUGAAGGAGUCCUUUGGCCCUUUGCUGGUCUUCACUCUAAUAAACAGAACCUCUGCUAGGGCCCACAAAACCCACUGUAUGAGCAGGGUGCAGUGGGCAGGCUGGGGGAGGGAGCUCUCCCCUCUGUGUGGCAUUUGUAAGUCCCAGCUGGAGUUUGGGACUUUCCAGCACUGGAAAGACAUUGGCAGACUGGAGUGAGUGCAGUGGAGAUCAGGGGUUGGAGAUCAGGAGGCACAAGGAGAGUCUCAGUAAGCCAGCUCUUUUCAGUUGGGGAAAGAGGAGAUCUCAGAGAGGGAGUAGAGCGGCAAAGCCUCCCAGAUGCAGGGGGGAUGAGAGGCAACAGGCAAAAGCUGGAAUGCAGGGAAUUUCCAUUAGUGAUAAGGAACCACUUUUUCCACCAUGAAGGUGGGCAAAACUGGAACAGGUUCGCUAGGGAGGUUCAAGCCUGAGCUGGCAUGACUUGGAGUGACCUAUCCCAGUUGGCCCUGCUAUGAGCCGGGGGACCAGAGACCUCCCGAGGCCCCUGCCAGCCUCAGUUAUCCUGUUAUUCCAUGAAUGAGUGUCAGGUGUCCUGGACUCCAAAAUACCCCAGAGACAAAGAAAAACCUCCCUUUUCAAAGUCGCCCCAGAGGUCUCACAGGUAUAUUGUGCUGAAGUUCUCCCAGCAGUUGAACCACUGUGGUGCCACUGGGAUUUCAACUUGUAAACAGCGAGAAGACAAGGAUUAGCUACUCAGAUGCCUGGGCAUUAAACCAUCUUUUCUGGUGAGGGGCAGGGUAGAGCAGGAGAGCUUCAGAUCAAUUUAUGCUAUAGGAUAUCUCCUUCCUUCUCAGAAAGAACCUGUAUUUCUGUCUGAGCAAAAUGUUAGGGAAAGGGGAAUUUCCACAGAGAUUCGUGUCAAAAGCAGAGAGAAGUCAAGUGGCUUCCCUACUCUUUCAAGAAGCUUCCUGAAUCCAAACACUGUCCUCCCCUCUGCUAUGGGAAACAUUUCUGGUCCCUUCUGCCUCUCUUUCUUUGCAGUUUUGCACAGUUACCGAACAGGGGAAAAGAGAAAGCUUUCAGAAACACCUGAAAACAGAAAGCCACAGAGAAUCCCAGUUAGCAAGAGAAAAUGCACGCAAGAGAUGUUCCCCAAGCCCUGCUGCUAACGUGCUGCGCAGCUCCCGAUGCAUCGCGGUCCUGCAAUGGCAGAGCUGCUCAGAGAGCUGUUAGCCUCUCUGGAGUGGGGCAGAGCAGCUGUCCCGGGCUGGCAGCAUGGACCCACAGCCGCUCCAUGGCUAUAGAGCUCUGUCUGUGUCUGCAUCACCAUGUGCCAGCGGAGGAACCGUGAUGGCUCCUGCCCCGGCCAGCAGAGCCAGGGCAACGGGAGGAAAGGCUGCGCUCUGUGCUUGUGUCUGGGAACAGCAGCCCUGCUCCAUUCCCAUUUAUCCUGAUGAUUCUGGCUACACCACACCAGAUGGAGAGCAAACCUCAAUCCUGCCAUCUCUGCUCCUCUCACUGAUGUGCUCAAAGAUCUGGCUUUUGUCAUCUUUUGGGUUGUGCUGAGGGAUUCCCUUGAGGUUGUAGAACCGCUGGGGUGGGGGCCGUGUCUCCAUUUCAGUGCAGGCAGGUCUGUGCAUCCCUAUGUCCUGACCCUGUGCCUCAGACAAGGCCGAGCCCAGCCCUCCUGCCUCCAGGUCACCUCCAUCGUGAUGGGACCAUGGCUGCUCCCCUUCAAUGCAGAAUUUAGUGCAACAACAAAUAUGAAAUCCUCCACUGCUAAUUUAGUAUCUCAGAUCCCUUCCACACUGUAACAUCUGGGCAGUGAGGUUUUGGGAGUACAGAUGCUUCGGGAUCAGCUUUGAAAAUAAAUCCAAAUAAGCCACUUUUUGGAGAUUAAACUGACUCCUCCUGGAGACCACUGCAGGGAAAGAGAGGAAGAGCACUUGUUUAUUAAAAAGAGACAGCAGGGACAAGGACAUGAAAGGAGGCUUUGUCUCCUCAGCUAUUACCUUACUCCAUUUGUCGCUAUGUUAAUGCCUUGUCUUCAGAUGUGCAGGGGAAUCUCAGGCACAAAUCUCCCAGCUCCAUAAAAAAUCAGGCAAAGAGGAACCCCCUGCUCCUGGGCCCUGCAUGUCAUGGAAGCCCCGUGCCACCUGCAGAUGCCUCCAAAUGACUGGUGUCAUGUUGGGGGGGGCGGGUGUGCAUCUGUGAACGCUUGGGGGUUUGGCGAGGGGCUGGCUUCAUGGCAGAGAUGGAGGCAACACGAUCUGGCUUCAUCCCCGGGGACCCCCCAGGCCCUGCAGGAGCUGGAAACGCGG
Columba livia (rock pigeon) is the source of this 11916-nucleotide long non-coding RNA. RefSeq lists it as uncharacterized. The transcript is spliced from 3 exons. NCBI's taxonomy places the organism in Eukaryota, Metazoa, Chordata, Aves, Columbiformes, Columbidae. The record is from RefSeq and is a predicted model, not a curated record.